ACGUAGGCACCAAGCGUUGUCCGGAUUUAUUGGGCGUAAAGAGCUCGUAGGCGGUUCAGUAAGUCGGGUGUGAAAACUCUGGGCUUAACCCAGAGACGCCACUCGAUACUACUGUGACUAGAGUUCGGUAGGGGAGCGGGGAAUUCCUAGUGUAGCGGUGAAAUGCGCAGAUAUUAGGAGGAACACCGGUGGCGAAGGCGCCGCUCUGGGCCGAUACUGACGCUGAGGAGCGAAAGCGUGGGUAGCAAACAGG
Molecule: ribosomal RNA, 253 nt
Filed under: uncultured bacterium
Lineage: Bacteria
Description: partial 16S ribosomal RNA
Rfam family: Bacterial small subunit ribosomal RNA
Source: RNAcentral